This 417-nucleotide long non-coding RNA is filed under the name Cricetulus griseus (Chinese hamster). RNAcentral's name for it is "lncRNA (ENSCGRG00000024447.1)". The record is from RNAcentral. Lineage: Eukaryota; Metazoa; Chordata; Mammalia; Rodentia; Cricetidae.
CACCUCCUCCAGUGGCAGGAUGUGAUCCACCAGCAAGGAGGGACACCAAUAAGGCAUCGGAUAAGUCUUAUAAAAUAUAUAAAUUUAUGAGAAUGAAGACUGAGCCAACAGAUGAGAAUCCUAGUCAUUGGCCAAGCAGCAUUAUACCUAAUACAAGUCUCUCUGUGUAUUAAUUUGGGCCCUAACUCAGGCGGGCAUCUGGCAUAAAGCACACACGAGGUGGUGGGGCUCCCCAGCUUUGGUGGAAAGAUUUAUUGUAACAGCAUUAUGCACAGUAAUCAAAUUUUACACUUUAUUAUAUGGAUGGACAGAUAAAUACAUAGUCACCCAGACAUACUUCGCUGAUGACCAAAGGAAUCUCAGAUAUGAACAGUCAACAGUAUCUGCUACAAAACUGUGUAUGCAGGUGUGUAUAUG